Molecule: small nucleolar RNA, 91 nt
Filed under: Pogona vitticeps (central bearded dragon)
Lineage: Eukaryota; Metazoa; Chordata; Lepidosauria; Squamata; Agamidae
Description: Small nucleolar SNORD12/SNORD106 (ENSPVIG00000024480.1)
Rfam family: Small nucleolar SNORD12/SNORD106
About the family: This family belong to the C/D class of snoRNA which contain the C (UGAUGA) and D (CUGA) box motifs. This family includes the human ortholog of mouse snoRNA HBII-99 and human snoRNA U106. In humans both HB11-99 and U106 snoRNAs share the same host gene.
Source: Rfam by way of RNAcentral
GCUGAUGUGAAUGAUGACUAAAUCUUUUUUCCCCAUCAGAUCGACACUGUUGAUUUUGCUAUUUUAGCCAGUUCGUGUCUGAUACAUCAGC